CUCAUGAAGUUCAAGUCAGUACUCAAAAACCUCACAAGUUUCGAUGAUCUGAUCUCAUCUCCAAAACAAACAAAAAAAAACAUUCUGAAAACUUGACUUAUGAUCUGAACUUUUUUUUUUCUUCAGGACGGUGGAGGAGGCGAUAGAGAAGGCCAACUGCACCAAGUACGGGCUGGCUGCCGGCAUUGUGACCAAGAACCUCAACAUUGCCAACAUGGUGUCGAGGUCAGUGCGGGCCGGCACGGUGUGGGUGAACUGCUACUUCGCCUUCGACCCCGACGCGCCGUUCGGCGGGUACAAGAUGAGCGGGUUCGGCCGGGACCAAGGGAUGGUCGCCAUGGACAAGUACCUGCAGGUCAAGACCGUCAUCACCGCCGUCCCGGACUCGCCCUGGUACUGAUAAAUCAAAUCAAGCAGCAGCUAUAGCUAGAGUGUACCAUGUACCAUGAAUGCUGCAGCCUGUGUAGUGUUUUCGGAUGUUUUUCUCCUUAAUUCUGCUGCUGCUUGGUGUGGUUGUAUGUAGUUUGGUUGUGGGGUGAGAUAU
Molecule: long non-coding RNA, 544 nt
Filed under: Oryza sativa (Asian cultivated rice)
Lineage: Eukaryota; Viridiplantae; Streptophyta; Magnoliopsida; Poales; Poaceae
Description: long non-coding RNA (OSAT_LNC000897)
Source: RNAcentral